GAUGAUGACAUUCAGGGGCUCAAUUGGUUAAGAGACUUAGAACAUCGUCACAUUUUGCAUUUGCAUUUAAAAAUACUUGUUAUUUUCUUUUGGUCUACGAUAUGCCAAUUUGGUUGGUGCAUAUUACUAAUUAAACCAUGAAUUUAAACCUGCAUUAAGUUAAAGUCCUAAGGAAGCCACUAUAGGCAUUUGUAUUAUUGCAGGAGAAUGUCA
This 213-nucleotide unclassified non-coding RNA is filed under the name Hevea brasiliensis (rubber tree). The record is from RNAcentral. Lineage: Eukaryota; Viridiplantae; Streptophyta; Magnoliopsida; Malpighiales; Euphorbiaceae.